GGCGGAAUUGGUAAACGCACUAGACUGAAAAUCUAGCGAAACGGGCACUUUUAUGCCUCUUUUAUUUGCACAGGUUCGAAUCCUGUCGAGACCACCA
This 97-nucleotide transfer RNA is filed under the name Aquimarina sp. MMG016. RNAcentral describes it as "tRNA-Phe". It matches the Rfam family "tRNA", at positions 9 to 71 of the family's 71-position model. Rfam says of the family: Transfer RNA (tRNA) molecules are approximately 80 nucleotides in length. Their secondary structure includes four short double-helical elements and three loops (D, anti-codon, and T loops). The record is from RNAcentral. Lineage: Bacteria; Pseudomonadati; Bacteroidota; Flavobacteriia; Flavobacteriales; Flavobacteriaceae.